Molecule: long non-coding RNA, 795 nt
Filed under: Homo sapiens (human)
Lineage: Eukaryota; Metazoa; Chordata; Mammalia; Primates; Hominidae
Description: HSALNT0316398
Source: RNAcentral
CUACACUUACAGUCUGUUGAGUGAAAAGUUAUGAAAUAAGAUAAAAGCUCAGUGUUUCAAACAUAAGAAACAGCAUACACAAUACUGGACAUCACAGGACCCUCUCCGGCUGGAUACCAGGCUGUAGAACCACCAGAUGCUUCAGAUGAGAAAGGUUGGAUCUGUUUCACAGGGAAGGGGCUAAACUGUUUCAAGAGGCGACCACGCGCUGGGCACUCUGUGUCUCGCUCUGUCACCCAGGCUGGAGUGCAGUGGUGUGAUCUCGGUUCACUGCAACCUCAACCUCCUCGGCUCAUGUGGAUCCUCCCACCUCAGCUUCCUAAGUAGCUGAGACUACAGUACUUUGCAACCUACCAAGUAUCAUCACAAGAGCUAUGAAAGUGAAGAGAGACAUACGUUAUCUAAGAAUCUGAGAGAGAUGACUCAGUCAGCAUCCUCUCUCUUGGUGUACAAUGGUAGGGACAGCUACUGUGUCAUCUGGAGCAUGACAAUGAGAACACAGACACUGGAUCGUCCUGAUAUAGCCUGCAGUCCAUCUGGGCCUCUAGACAUUCAUUUGCAUUUGCAUUCAUGCGCAUCCCCUACUACUCCAACUCCUACACCUUUUGGCAGGAUAUAUCCACACAGCUGGAUUGGAAUCACAAGAUGUUUUUAUUUUUUGCCUCAUUAAACUAGUUUCUCUCAAGCAAUGUGUGUUUUCUUUAUAUUCCAGCCCAGAAAUCAUUUAACAGGAAGAAGGCAUCUCAGAGAUGUGCUUCAGAAAAGGCUUAUGAAUGGGACACAAAAACAUAUUGC